Chelonoidis abingdonii (Abingdon island giant tortoise) is the source of this 768-nucleotide long non-coding RNA. RefSeq lists it as uncharacterized. The record is from RefSeq and is a predicted model, not a curated record. Lineage: Eukaryota; Metazoa; Chordata; Testudines; Testudinidae.
GUCGUGGCAGUGCAGCUCCGGAACAAAGUCCACAGCCGGCUCCAGAACAGCACCCCACAUGCAGGAGCUGUCCAAGCUGGCAAAGCAGGUCGAGAUCUCCCUGGAGCUGAAGAAGGCCAGGCUAUGAGAUCCCGGAGGAGACCUGGAGAGUCUGUCCUCUAGGGAUAGCGGAGGACCUGAGAUGCCGGGUUGGCCUGUUACUCAGUGAGGGGGGAAUGUGGAAAUGACCGAGGUGCCUAAUGACGUCUUUGUCUCGGUGGCGAGCGGCCGGCUACCGUAGUGAACACCGGUGAAAACGAGGUAGGAUCAGAGGCUAAAAUAGGGAAAGAACAAGUUAACCAUUCCUUAGACACAUCAGAUGUCUUCACACCACCAGGGCCCGAUUAAAUGCCUCCUAGGAUCCUCAAGGAGCUGCCUGAGGAGAUGGCUGAGGUACCUUUCAGAAAACCUGGAAGAUGGGAGAGAUUCCGGAUGACCAGAAAAGGACAAAUCUAGGGGGCAGCUCUAAAAAGGGGAAGAAGGAGGAACCCGGGAAUUAUGGACCAGUCAGUGUCACUUCUGUACCCGGAAAGAUAAUGGAGCAAAUCAUUAAGCAGUCGAUUUGCAAACACCUAGAAGAUAUUGAGGUGAUAAGUGACAGUUGCGUGGAACUGUCAAGAACAAAUUGUGUCAAACCAACCUGAUACCUUUCAUUGACAGCGUAACAAGCCGUGUGGACGGGAGGAAGUGCUAGAUGUGGUAUAGACUUUAGUAAAGCUUUUGAUACUG